Molecule: ribosomal RNA, 409 nt
Filed under: uncultured Actinomycetales bacterium
Lineage: Bacteria; Bacillati; Actinomycetota; Actinomycetes; Actinomycetales
Description: bacterial SSU rRNA
Rfam family: Bacterial small subunit ribosomal RNA
Source: RNAcentral
UGGGGAAUCUUGCGCAAUGGGCGAAAGCCUGACGCAGCAACGCCGCGUGAGGGACGAAGGCCUUCGGGUUGUAAACCUCUUUCAGCAGGGAUGAAGCGAAAGUGACAGUACCUGCAGAAGAAGCACCGGCUAACUACGUGCCAGCAGCCGCGGUAAUACGUAGGGUGCAAGCGUUGUCCGGAAUUAUUGGGCGUAAAGAGCUCGUAGGCGGUCUGUCGCGUCGGAUGUGAAAACUCGGAGCUUAACUCCGAGCCUGCAUUCGAUACGGGCAGACUAGAGUUCGGUAGGGGAGACUGGAAUUCCUGGUGUAGCGGUGGAAUGCGCAGAUAUCAGGAGGAACACCGGUGGCGAAGGCGGGUCUCUGGGCCGAUACUGACGCUGAGGAGCGAAAGCGUGGGGAGCGAACAGG